GUAGAAUUUACCAAAAGGACUGGGACAACCACUGGAAACGGUGGCUAAUACCGGAUGAACCGAAAAGUAAAAAGGGAAACCUGCCUUUUGAAGAGCUCGCGUCUGAUUAGCUAGUUGGUGAGGUAAGAGCUCACCAAGGCAGCGAUCAGUAGCUGGUCUGAGAGGAUGACCAGCCACACUGGGACUGAGACACGGCCCAGACUCCUACGGGAGGCAGCAGUGGGGAAUUUUCCGCAAUGGGCGAAAGCCUGACGGAGCAAUACCGCGUGAGGGAAGAAGGCUCUUGGGUCGUAAACCUCUUUUAUCAGGGAAGAAAAAAAUGACGGUACCUGAAGAAUCAGCCUCGGCUAACUCCGUGCCAGCAGCCGCGGUAAUACGGAGGAGGCAAGCGUUAUCCGGAAUUAUUGGGCGUAAAGCGUCCGCAGGUGGCUUAUCAAGUCUGCUGUCAAAGAGUGGGGCUUAACCCCAUUAAGGCAGUGGAAACUGAGAAGCUAGAGUGCCGUAGGGGUAGAGGGAAUUCCCGGUGUAGCGGUGAAAUGCGUAGAGAUCGGGAAGAACAUCGGUGGCGAAAGCGCUCUACUGGACGGCAACUGACACUCAGGGACGAAAGCUAGGGGAGCGAAAGGGAUUAGAUACCCCU
RNAcentral lists this ribosomal RNA (640 nucleotides) under Microcoleus sp. WUC1772. RNAcentral describes it as "bacterial SSU rRNA". It matches the Rfam family "Bacterial small subunit ribosomal RNA", at positions 119 to 789 of the family's 1533-position model. The record is from RNAcentral. Lineage: Bacteria; Bacillati; Cyanobacteriota; Cyanophyceae; Oscillatoriales; Microcoleaceae.